Molecule: ribosomal RNA, 471 nt
Filed under: uncultured bacterium
Lineage: Bacteria
Description: partial 16S ribosomal RNA
Rfam family: Bacterial small subunit ribosomal RNA
Source: RNAcentral
GACGAACGCUGGCGGCGUGCUUAACACAUGCAAGUCGAACGCUGAAGCUUGGUGCUUGCACUGGGUGGAUGAGUGGCGAACGGGUGAGUAAUACGUGAGUAACCUGCCCUUGACUCUGGGAUAAGCCUGGGAAACUGGGUCUAAUACUGGAUACGACAUGCCACUGCAUGGUGGUGUGUGGAAAGGGUUUUACUGGUUUUGGAUGGGCUCACGGCCUAUCAGCUUGUUGGUGGGGUAAUGGCCUACCAAGGCGACGACGGGUAGCCGGCCUGAGAGGGUGGCCGGCCACACGGGGGCUGGGACACGGCCCAAACCCCUCGGGGGGGCAGCGGGGGGGAAUAUUGCCCAAGGGGGGGAGGCCUGAUGCAGCGACCCCGGGGGGGGGAUGGCGGCCUUGGGGUUGAAAACCUCUUUCCGCACGAAAGAAGCGGGGGUGACGGUACGUGCAAAAGAAGCCCCGGCUAACUACGU